UACGAAGGGGGCUAGCGUUGCUCGGAAUCACUGGGCGUAAAGCGCACGUAGGCGGGUCUUUAAGUCAGGGGUGAAAUCCUGGAGCUCAACUCCAGAACUGCCUUUGAUACUGAGGAUCUCGAGUCCGGGAGAGGUGAGUGGAACUCCGAGUGUAGAGGUGAAAUUCGUAGAUAUUCGGAAGAACACCAGUGGCGAAGGCGGCUUCCUGGCCUGUAACUGACGCUGAGACGCGAAAGCGUGGGGAGCGAACCGG
This 253-nucleotide ribosomal RNA is filed under the name uncultured bacterium. RNAcentral's name for it is "partial 16S ribosomal RNA". It matches the Rfam family "Bacterial small subunit ribosomal RNA", at positions 524 to 776 of the family's 1533-position model. The record is from RNAcentral.